GCGACGCUCAGACACGUUAAGCAGAGAAGCCGCAAGAAAAAAAAAAGAGGCCGCAAGAAAACGGAAGCAGCAGCAGCUGCAGCGCGACCACGAAUGGCGUCGACCUCGAGCUUGGAGUUGGGGAAGAUCGUGCCGCCGGCCGGCUUCCUCCUCCACCGCUGCACCGCCGUCCUCAGCGCCCCUGUUCUCCGGGGGAGGAGCGCGAGCGGGCGGUGCGGCCUUGCCGUCUCGGUCUCGUCCUCCAAUGGUGCAGCUGGGCUCUCCCCACUGAGUGACUCGGAGAAGAAAGGCCCUGUGGUGAUGGAGAUCCCGCUGGAAGAUAUCCGGAGGCCGCUAAUGCAAACGCGUGCUAAUGAUCCUGACAAGGUGCAGGAGCUCAUGGACAGCAUCCGUGUCAUCGGCCUCCAAGUACCUAUCGACGUGCUGGAGGUUGACGGAGUCUACUACGGUAGUUUUGUUCUCAUCUCAAUUGGUUAUUCCCCACUCCCAAAAGAUAAUCCCAUUUCCCUCUUGCUGAAUAUGCUUGCACAUAAUCCUCAGGAUUCUCUGGAUGCCAUCGCUACGAGGCUCACCAGCGCCUAGGACUCCCAACCAUCCGCUGCAAAGUCCGCCGAGGGACAAAAGAAACACUGCGGCACCAUAUGCGAUGAAUCGGUGGUUAGCGAUGAAUGGAUGAUCCAUGGACUGCUUCAGCCACGAAGUGUCAUCUGUUAUGUCUAGUGCUAAAAAAAAACUUUCUCCUCCUGUAAUCAUAUAUACGUGUAAAUGUUACCCAAUCCAAUGUGUAAAAUAGCACUUGUUCA
Molecule: RNA transcript, 803 nt
Organism: Triticum aestivum (bread wheat)
Lineage: Eukaryota; Viridiplantae; Streptophyta; Magnoliopsida; Poales; Poaceae
Gene name: sulfiredoxin, chloroplastic/mitochondrial
Exons: 4
Source: RefSeq, a predicted model, not a curated record